GCUGGAGCAGGUGCUGGGGUGCUCCAGGAGCUCUGCAUGCAGCAGCAUGACUGCAGCUGCAUGAUUGCAUACAGCAGCAGGUCCAGGGCUCAGCAGCAGCAGCACCAUGGGGAUUCCCAUGAGUUCUUGUUCUCACUUGGAAAUGAAAACAGGCUGCAGUUCUGAGCCUCCAUGUGUAACUGGGUAAGGCAGCACGAGGCGCGCAUGGGGUUCGUUUUUCUUUCUUUUCAUCUACUUAAUACCUCUGUGGUGGGACUGAUGGAGUUGUUAAAAUCCCUUGUAAUGUACAGGCGUGUGUCUUUAUGAUGUAGAGCAAACAAAAGUAACAUCAAUCCACCUCCCUCCUUGGACUUUGGCUGGCACCAGUACUAGUUUUUGUAGGGUUCUUUACAUUACGAAAAGCAUCACUGGACAUCAUCACUAUGAAUAUUACAGAUAAGAGCAGGAUCAAAGCAAGGCAACAUGGCAAACAUUUUGCUUGUCAUCAGUCAAAACAGCUUUUUAUGUCUUUAGCGACAACGAUUUCCUGACAAACCUCUGCUCCUGAAACCCGCUGCAAAUACAAGACCACCUCGUACUCUUUCACUAAGAGGAAGCGCACAUUUCAAUUCGUUUUCAAACGCUGGGACCUCCCUGAAGCAGCUUUCUCCCUGCAGAGCCCUCCCUCCGGGCCGGGCCCAACGAUGGGCGGGCGGAGAGGGACGGACGGCCGGGAAGGCGGAGACGGGGGGCGGCUCGCUGCCGGGGCGCGCCCCCUGCUGGCACGGCCGCCACGGUGCCGGACCCGCGGGGGAAGCGGCCGGGCCUGGGCUGUGCUCGGCGGUCCCACCCCGAGCAGCGCUGGAGCCGUCGGUUUGAUUCUCAGCACGCAACAGGCAAUUUUAACUCUUUGAAUAACGUUGUAUUGUUCCGAUAGACGUCCAUUUUGAGCACCUUGGAGCGCCCACAUCAGUGCUGCUCUUUGGAUCAGCAGUGUGCUUUUGGAGCACAUCUGCCACACUGUGCUUGGACAUGCUGGCACAGAGCAGCCUCACAGCCGCCCAUUUCAUGGCAUUCAGAUGACACCGGGCUGGAGGAAGGCUCCAGGAACUGUUUGUAAAAGCUGGUGCUGCAUUAGCCAUCUCCUAAGGCUUUGUGUGUAAGCAGUUUCAAAGGAAGACUUGCACACUUCUGCAGGGAUGGUGGGGACCAUCUGGCAAUGGUUAGUUUGUUAUUAUUCACUUUGUCAAUUUAUUCUAACCCUUACUGGUGCUUCAAUGCGAGACAGAUCCUCAGACAAGCUCGUGAGUUCCUGUCUGGGAACUACCCCAGCCUUCUUCACAAUGAAUACAUGCAAAAAGCUCAUUUGGGGCUUCUGUGGCAAUUCUGUCUUUUCUGUGUAUUCCUUUGUAUACCUUGAUAGCAGAUUGGCUCUAGAAGAUGUCUCUCAGGCUUCCUGCUCCUGAUGAGACUGAAAAGCUUUUUCAGUCUUUCUGCAGGUUGUGUGUCAGUUACAUGUUUCAAGAAGGACAGAAGUCAAAGGAGUGAUUCUGUGGAUAUUUUGCCUUUGUUCAGAAAUGUCUUGAGUUGCUUAGGCACAAAAGGGUGAUCUAGGAAAAUAUUCAUCAAAUAUUCAUCUGACAUCAGGAAGAGGUUCACCUCUUCUUUGCAGGAAAUUCCUGCCUCAGGCAACAAAUAUUCACCAAAUAUUAUGAACAAGCAAACAUUUUGAAAACAUUCAAGACAUGAUUAGCAGCUCUUUGGAGGACAUUGGAGAGAUACAGAUCCCUGAGUUGACUGGUUAAUAAACAGAAUAACCAGGAGUCAAACCAGUGCAGGAGCAAAAUAGAGAAGACUAAGUCUUGCUUGAUUUUGCAAAGAUUGGAGGCAAAAAGUGGGCAUAGUUGUGAUAGAGUCAGUCUGAAAGCAUUUUCUUGCACAUCGCUCGUCUGUAAUUUCCCAGCCUUCUAUAAAUUAGUCAGCAUGUGAGCACUGCUCUGUAAGUUUAGUGUGGGUAGUUUAGAUUGCAUGUUCAGAGUGCUGGCUGUGUUGUUUUGGUUAUGAGAUAGUCAUGGUAUGUUUCUGUUUGCAGAUGGGGAGGUUUUGCCUCUGUGAGUCUAUAACCUGGUUCAUUUACCUACACUGAAUAUAAAAUUUAGCAGAAACUGUAGCACAGAGAAAACUAAUAAUCAUUUAUCUAUAGUCUGGUGAUACGCUAACAUAAAUUCAGACUUAGACCUUUUUGUACUGAACCUAUAAUACCAGUUUUAGGAAAAAUGACCCCAAAAAGAUCACAUGACACAAAUUGAUGAUUCAGAUUAAACUUACAUCCUGGACCCAGUCUGUCAGAAAGACCUAACCGAGUAAUUCUGUGCAGGCGGGCUGUAUGCCAAGUGAAGCAUAUUACCUCCUGAUACUCUAACAUGUCAUAUCGAGUACUUUUGUCUUCCCACAACACACACAAGGCCACUGUACAGCCAUAAAGCCAGUGUAAGCCCCAUACUGCGUGCUGGGAUUAACAUCUGUGAAUCUGGAUCAGAUUUGUGCUACUGCCUUAGCGCCCAUGGUAGCAUGGCCUCCUUUAAGGAAGAUGAACAGCAAAGAGCAAAGGUCCUCGUGGUGGCCAUGCACGUGAAUGCUUCUCUUACCUGCUGCUUGGUUACGAUCACAGCUGAACAUACAGCUGCCUGUGUGGCUUAGAAGAAACCUCAACCAGCCAUGGCCACCUUCCCACUUAUUUGAUAGGUGACUUCCUGUUCUUUCCAGUUAUUAUUACAUAACAGAGUAUUUCAGUGCUCCUUCCACUUGGCCUGAAGGAAAGAUGUUUAGAAUAUCCAUAGGUAUAACCAGAUCUGUAGGUCUGCACAACAACAGCUGCAGUGCAAUGAUACCAUGCCACAGUUUAUCCUAUCUAUUGAGAGGGCAGUGGUCUUCUAAUUAAUGAUUAUUCCGUUUAGUUUGUGGUUUAAUGAACAUUUUUGGAGCAGUCAAAAUAUUUGAAAAGUACAAAAACAAAGCACAUGAAAUGUGAAAUUCCAAGUGAAUUUUAAGUCUGUCCUUAAU
This is a long non-coding RNA of Tympanuchus pallidicinctus (lesser prairie-chicken), 3042 nucleotides long. RefSeq lists it as uncharacterized. The transcript is spliced from 3 exons. The record is from RefSeq and is a predicted model, not a curated record. Lineage: Eukaryota; Metazoa; Chordata; Aves; Galliformes; Phasianidae.